GAGUACAUAAUAAAAUUCAUUGAUUUCACUGUGAUCAAUUAUUUCAAAGUUGCUUACGAUAUUGCUCCCCGUAUUCUGGUUAAUAUUAAGGUUAAUGUGUUGUCCUGGUUGCGGCAACAAUUCCGGCUCAGUCUCGGAAUCAAACACGUACUGUGAUGAUUGCUUAUCAAAGCAAAACAUAACACGCUUGAUAACAGGUUAUUUCAAUCGUGGUUAUCCGUAUGGGGCAAUCGUCAGACUUUUGCAAACCUCCGGUAUUCUGAUGUCUAUACGGACGUUGAAGCGCCGCUUCAGAUCUUUGGGCUUAAGACGAAAAGGACAAGUCUGGACGACUGUCUGGCUAUCGAAGUAUUUGGCAUGCAUUAAGACUUCGUCAUGGUAUAAAUGUGAGUCGUCACGUAGUAGCCAGAAUUAUGAAGGAAAUCGACCCAGAUGGCGUGGAAACAAGAAAGGCCAGACGAUUACAUGGUAGGGUAUAUAAAAGCCUAGGAGCAAACGCUUGCUGGCACCUCGACGGUAAGAUUACAUUAAUGUAGUUUCUAUGAACCUAGAAGUAACAAAUACCCCCGACAAGAACUUGCACUUAUGCAUUGGAGGGAUUAUCUGCAAGAUUGCGAAGCUGGACGAUGUGGUGCUACUUUGGGAGAUGUACUAAUCUUUGCAACAGGAAGUGAUGACAUCCCACCUCUUGGCUUUACACCAAUGCCUUCACUAUGCUUUUGGGAAGAUGUUCAUCCAAGAUCAAACACGUGUGAUACCACACUUUAUCUCCCUCUAUUCCCUGGUUCAAAGGAUGAAGUGCAAUAUGAUACUUUUAAAGAAAAAAUGGAUGAUGGAAUUUUAAAUUCUCCUUUGGGGAUUCCAUAAAGUUUUUUAGCAGUUUUUUGUAACAAGUACAUAUUCAAUUAGUUCAAAGUUCUUAUAACGUGUUUAUAACAUCAAAUUUUAAGUUUAGUGGCAGAAUGCUACGUUUUAGCAUAAUGGUAUUCAACAAUUUACAACAAA
Xenia sp. Carnegie-2017 is the source of this 1005-nucleotide RNA transcript. It is a transcript of the gene named G2/M phase-specific E3 ubiquitin-protein ligase-like, with no coding region annotated. The transcript has 2 exons. The record is from RefSeq and is a predicted model, not a curated record. Lineage: Eukaryota; Metazoa; Cnidaria; Anthozoa; Malacalcyonacea; Xeniidae.